AAGGAUAUAACUCAGUGGUAGAGUGCCACCCUGACAUGGUGGAAGCCAUCAGUUCAAGCCUGAUUAUCCUUA
This 72-nucleotide transfer RNA is filed under the name Nitella hyalina. RNAcentral describes it as "tRNA-Val". It matches the Rfam family "tRNA". From Rfam's summary of the family: Transfer RNA (tRNA) molecules are approximately 80 nucleotides in length. Their secondary structure includes four short double-helical elements and three loops (D, anti-codon, and T loops). The record is from RNAcentral. Lineage: Eukaryota; Viridiplantae; Streptophyta; Charophyceae; Charales; Characeae.